Molecule: ribosomal RNA, 564 nt
Filed under: Triticum aestivum (bread wheat)
Lineage: Eukaryota; Viridiplantae; Streptophyta; Magnoliopsida; Poales; Poaceae
Description: partial small subunit ribosomal RNA
Source: RNAcentral
AUGGAAUUUGACUCUUUUGAUGAAGAUUACUCCUAUGAUGGAGAUGAACAGGGGAACAUGGUUGGGAGGAAGAGCAGAUACCCAAAAUUUAACUCUGAAACUGAUAUCCCACAUUUCAGUUUAGGGAUGGUUUUUAGGAGCAAAAAUCAGUUUUUGAAAGCUGUUAAGAGAUAUGGUCUUGCUACAAAAAGAAGCAUCAGAUUUGUGAAGUUUGAGGAGAAUAGGGUUAGAUCCAAAUGUGCAUGGCCUGGCUGUCCAUGGCUUGUAUAUGGAGCAAAAACAAGCAGGUGAUCAAGGUUUCAAAUAAUAACAUAUGAGGAAGAGCAUCACUGUGCACAAAACAGAGAAAACAUGCUUGUUUCUGCAAAGGUCAUAGCAGAAAAAUAUGAGCAUUGCAUUCUGGCCAAUCCUAUGUGGAAGAUUGAUAGUAUUAAAGCCACUAUACUGCAAGAUAUGUUUGUUGAUGUAUCCACUUCCAAGUGUAAGGCAACAAAAAAGAUUGUUAUGGAUAAGCUUUUGUCUGGUAUGAAGAGUGAGUACACAAAAUAUUUGACUGCCAGCUAG